AUCUAGAGUUUAUACAAAAAAUUAAUCUUGUGAAUUGCAUGCAAAAUUUUCAAAAAUGAUUGUAUUGUUUUUCUUCUUGUAGUCUUUGAUCAAGUGUGAUUUCCGUGGUGUGGGAGCUUGUAGUAUUAAAAUUGUGAACGAAUUUUUUUUCUCUCUCUUCGUUUUGUGAUUUUGGACCAAUCAAACGGAGUCAUGGCACCAAUGACCAACCCAUUUUUAAUAACUUUAACCUUUGAAACAGAAACUAUAAAAAUCAAGGCUGAGCAUUUUCUGGGAUUAUUAAGAGAAGAAGUUCCAACAGUGCUAGUGAAUGUUAAAACAAUUAGUAUUCAGACAUUAUUAGAACACUUGACCAAACUUCCAUCACAAAAAAUAAUAGAAUAUCUAAAAUUAAAAUUAAACUUAGACCUCCCACCGGGAAAAAUCGUCUUUAGUAGCUCGGAUUUAGAAAAAGAAAUUCCCAUAACACCUACUCAACAUGAUCAAGUAAAAACCGAAAUAGAAUAUGACGAUAAAGGUAGAUAUAAGAAUGUACAAAAAUUCAAUAAGGCGCGUUUAAUCUAUGAAUUUGGGAAAAGGCAUAUUCCCUAUAAUUACGCAUCAACUAGCUUUGCUAAAAAGGAAUUGAUCAAUAUUUUAAACGAGGAAUAUGAAAAGUUAAAAAUACCUCUUUUAAAUACCUCAGGAAAUGAGGAUAAUGAAACAAAUAGAGAGGGUCAACGGUCCCCAUCCUUAAACUCUAUAGGCUCAGACAAUAGUCAGAACGGGAGUAAUGAAGGUUUCAUAGAAUUUAACGAGAGGGAACGCUCUAAAAGCCCCAAUUCACAAUUCAAAAAUUUAAUGUUUACUACUUUCAAACCACAUAAAAAUUCAAACGCACAUUCCUCACGAACCCAAAAUACACAAAACCCUUCAAGAAAUGAUCACUUCGUAAACAACAUUCAAAAUCCCACUCAAAUGUUGCAGGUCAAAAGUACAUCCAAACGCCCACUCUUUGAACCAGAAAAAUUUUCGGGUAAAUCCAGUGAGGAUAUUCAAGAAUUUUUGACAAGUUAUAAUAAAGCAGCGCGUGUAAAUAAUUGGACAGAAACUGAAAAAACAGAUCUUUUGGAAAAUUAUUUGACAGGAACAGCUCUAAAAUUUAUUAAAGCUUUAGACGAAUCAAUUGGAAGUUCCCUGACCUUUAAAAAGGCAUCAGAGGAACUAGUAAAAACAUUUGAUCCUGUGCAACGUACUACUAGGAUGGAAAUAGAAUUAGCAAAUAUAAAGCAAGGAAUAAAUCAGACAAUCGAGGAUUACUUAAUAUCAGUAGAAAAAUUAGCACGACGAUGUGACCCUAAAAUGCCACAAUCAAAAAUAGUAACUCAUUGUAUCAAAGGAUUACGAAAAGAUAUUGCGAAAGAUUUACUUCUCAAACCUAUGACAACAAUGACCGAAUUAAGAGAGGGAAUCAGAGUCCUCGAAACACGGGAUUAUUUGUUAAAUCAAAACCUUACUGGCUUAGUAGUCCCUGCAGCUCAAAAAUUAAAUACGGAGCAGGAAGAAAAUCAAAAUUCAGACUCGGUAAAAACAAAACAAGAUACAUUAAUUAAU
RNAcentral lists this long non-coding RNA (1593 nucleotides) under Bemisia tabaci. RNAcentral describes it as "lncRNA ENSASIAIIG011102". Lineage: Eukaryota; Metazoa; Arthropoda; Insecta; Hemiptera; Aleyrodidae. The record is from RNAcentral.